GCUAACAUGCUAACCAUGCUACUUAUCUAAUGGUUUCUAAUAGUUUUGCUAAAUAUGUUAACUAUGCUAGCAAUGUAUGCUGAAAUUUUAACUAUGC
Long non-coding RNA from Alosa sapidissima (American shad), 97 nucleotides. RefSeq lists it as uncharacterized. Lineage: Eukaryota; Metazoa; Chordata; Actinopteri; Clupeiformes; Clupeidae. The record is from RefSeq and is a predicted model, not a curated record. The transcript has 4 exons.